This is a non-coding RNA of Colius striatus (speckled mousebird), 45 nucleotides long. Lineage: Eukaryota; Metazoa; Chordata; Aves; Coliiformes; Coliidae. The record is from Rfam.
UAACAGACUUUUUUAAAAGUCAAAAAUUGAAAAAGAAAAUAAUUA